This 226-nucleotide ribosomal RNA is filed under the name Sinorhizobium sp. RNAcentral describes it as "partial 16S ribosomal RNA". It matches the Rfam family "Bacterial small subunit ribosomal RNA", at positions 46 to 300 of the family's 1533-position model. The record is from RNAcentral. Lineage: Bacteria; Pseudomonadati; Pseudomonadota; Alphaproteobacteria; Hyphomicrobiales; Rhizobiaceae.
AGGCUUAACACAUGCAAGUCGAGCGCCCCGUAAGGGGAGCGGCAGACGGGUGAGUAACGCGUGGGAAUCUACCCUUUUCUACGGAAUAACGCAGGGAAACUUGUGCUAAUACCGUAUAAGCCCUUCGGGGGAAAGAUUUAUCGGGAAAGGAUGAGCCCGCGUUGGAUUAGCUAGUUGGUGGGGUAAAGGCCUACCAAGGCGACGAUCCAUAGCUGGUCUGAGAGGA